This 497-nucleotide ribosomal RNA is filed under the name uncultured bacterium. RNAcentral's name for it is "partial 16S ribosomal RNA". It matches the Rfam family "Bacterial small subunit ribosomal RNA", at positions 28 to 507 of the family's 1533-position model. The record is from RNAcentral.
GAUGAACGCUGGCGGCGUGCCUAAUACAUGCAAGUCGAGCGAACAGACGAGGAGCUUGCUCCUCUGACGUUAGCGGCGGACGGGUGAGUAACACGUGGAUAACCUACCUAUAAGACUGGGAUAACUUCGGGAAACCGGAGCUAAUACCGGAUAAUAUAUUUAACCGCAUGGUUCAAUAGUGAAAGACGGUUUUGCUGUCACUUAUAGAUGGAUCCGCGCCGCAUUAGCUAGUUGGUAAGGUAACGGCUUACCAAGGCAACGAUGCGUAGCCGACCUGAGAGGGUGAUCGGCCACACUGGAACUGAGACACGGUCCAGACUCCUACGGGAGGCAGCAGUAGGGAAUCUUCCGCAAUGGGCGGAAGCCUGACGGAGCAACGCCGCGUGAGUGAUGAAGGUCUUCGGAUCGUAAAACUCUGUUAUUAGGGAAGAACAAAUGUGUAAGUAACUAUGCACGUCUUGACGGUACCUAAUCAGAAAGCCACGGCUAACUACGUG